AAUGUUGCUGUAAUAGUAACUGAACCUAGUACGAGAGGAGCCGCUCAUUCGGAUAAUUGGUAAUUGGGCCUGCCUGAGCAGGCGAUGGCCCAAACCUAUCAUCCGUUGGGUUAUGGCUGAACGCCUCCAAGUCAGAACCCGUGCUAGAACGCGACGCUUACCGCCUUGUGCUAUUUUAGUUGAGUACGAAUAGACCUACGGUCCUGAAUCUUACGAACGUGGGUUAUCUUGCAAAGCGGAGAGGCUUUGUGAGGUUCCUGCUAAUGCUAAUUUCAAAUAUUGGAAGAGAUAAAUCCAUUGCAGAUGACUUUAAUUGAACGGGGUAUAGUAAGCAGUAGAGUAGCCUUAUUGCUACGAUCUGCUGAGAUUAAGCCCAUUGUACUAUAGAUUU
This is a ribosomal RNA of 391 nucleotides. It matches the Rfam family "Eukaryotic large subunit ribosomal RNA", at positions 3004 to 3399 of the family's 3401-position model. The record is from Rfam.